CGCGUAAGAAAAUAAGAGAAGAAAAAUAUAAAAAGAAGAACAACGAGUAGCAGAACAGUUUGAGCGAACAAAAGCAGCCAGUUGCUUUCCUCGCGGCGGGAUCCCGUUAAGACAGCCGGAUGCGGCUUGUUUUCGCGACGUUUUCGCGGCGCCGCUGGCCGCGCCGAAAGUGCAGAAAACCGUGGCCGCGCGAAAAUAGCGGUAACUCGGUAUAAUGCGAUGCAGUAGCGGAUACGUUGUUACAGUAAUGCGUUCGUAUCGCGCGCAUCUACGCACAUGCGUGUCACGCGCGUCUCUUCUCUCCCUGAAGCUAGAACAAUAGGUUCCCGCGACUGAAGGAACGAGCCCCGUACCGUCAUCCCAGCGUCCGUCGUUUACUUGAUGGCUUUGUGGGUUACAAGUGCAAUUAAACUUCAGAAGCCUUACCAGCGGAAUUAAUCUAACCUAACGUUGCUACAGAAUAAAAGAAAACAACAAAGAGUUUACGAACUGAAAUGGUAAACAAUAUGGCGAAAAAAAUGUUUUAAGCUAUUCUUUUGAUGGGGAAGAAUAUAAAUCCUUUUACCCCUAAUAAUAUUUUCAUCGUAUUCGCGUAGAAUAUAGGCGUUCUUCGUGCAGAAGAAACACAUUCUUUUACCAUUUAUUCUCUCUCUAAAUCUGUACAGGUGGUAAAAAAUGGAUGUCCAUAACGAUACAAUAAUAAAUAAUGUAAAUGACAUAAAUAACAGAAAUCUUUAGCUCUGUCAAUUGCAUCGUUCGCUAUCUCAACCCCUCAAUUGCAAUUAAACCGAUUAAUUAGCAGAAAAUACCCAAAGUAAAAUAAAGGUCCAAUGCACUUCUUCUUAUAUACGCACGAAAGAAACAAUUAACAAACGCGUAUCAAACUCACUAAUCUUGUAUUUCUCACGUCAUACGAAGACUACUAGAUCACAUCUAAUCCUCAUAAUAACUACUAUGUAAUAUGCUUAAACAUAGAAGUUCAGCCUAUCUUAUUUUCUUCCCAUCGGAUCCAACAAUUUCCAUGCGAAUAUAGCGAACCUCAUGGAAAAACGUGAGGCACGAAAGAAAUAUCUUUCAAGUGUCCCGCGAAUUAGUAUCGGGGCAGUGGCCACGUAGAGAGCAAGCAAGUUCACAGCUCGCAACCGGAAGCACGGUUCAAGUGUUACUUAUAUCCCUUAUCGGGACGCGGCGGUCGUUGCGACUCCAUGAGACGGUUUGUGGCUCAUUGUCCACGUCCGAAACGGACGGCGCAAGGCCGUAUAAAUAUCGGGCCAAGCGUAUCGCGCAUGCAUAUCGCUAGUUUCCCCGCGGCUACUCUCUCUUUCUCUCCAUCCUCGUUUUCUUGGAGUAAACGUUAGCCGAGGUUACAGACAGUCGAGUAGCUGCUACCACUACCAUAGACACCGCUACCGACUACCACCAACCGUGUACCAAGUAAUUGGUACAACUGUGCCGGACCUAGACAUGGACAAAGUGGGAAAAAAAGUACCGCUAUUGAUGAGAGAAAUACAUUGAACGUUAAUUCGAAACUGUUACCAACUGAUUUCAAGGAACUGUAGCCUCCGAAUAGAAGGGAACGCGUGUACCAUGCAGGAGCGAGCACUGUAGACAAGUCAUACAAAAUUUCACCAGUCAACGUGUUAAGCCAGGUCCCGCUAAUUUCUCCGCACGCCGGCAUGGCACCCCGCGUUUCUUUCGUUCUCAACGUUAUCAUCAUCGGUCUUUACGAGCGCAUUUGCAUCGGCCCGGAACCGCUUCUGAGUCGAGCACGACUCGCUAAGAAGAACAGGAAGAAGAAGGGGACGUGGAACGUACGAGGGAAACGCGAAAGAAGAGGACGAAAAAGAAACGAAACAAGUGGAGAGCGGGGAAGGGGAGGACGUGCGAACGGCGUUGCUUAAUAACCCGUAUACCGAUUCGCGUAUGCUUGCGAUCGCUCUUCUAUGUAUAUGUGUAUGUGUUGGUGUUCGCGCGCGCAUGUUCACUCACCACGACUUGCAAGACGAGUAAACGCGGUUAUACUAUACGCGUCGCGCUCACCAAGACGUCUGGCGUCGGCGCAUAAUGCGAGCGGCACGUAAUUUCGUCGAUUCUAAUUGCGAUGAGUUACAAUUAGAAAGCGCACUAAUUGAAAGCGUUUCGCAAUGCGCGAUGGCGCAAAAGUUCGCGGAUCUUCGCGAGCCGUGUGAUUUACUGGCUCGACGUGGGAUCCGACAUUCGUUGCGAGGCCGUGCCUUCACUUCGAAACGCUUCGAUUUCGACGUCGAUCGUUCCUUUAUGGAAAAUACUAUCCUACUGAAUUUUAGGUCAUCGAAGAUUCAACUUUUCAAUUUUUUUUCAAGUUCAUAUGACUUCAAAUGGAUGUUAUAUUUCAAUAAAUGGUAUUGAAAUAUAUGAGAUAAUUUUUAAAUAUUUGAUUUUAAUUAACAUUAUAAUUUUACUGUCUCUGUAUGUUCCUCCGUUUUCAUGAGUAUAGUAUUCCAAAAAGGAAAUCCGAAGAGGUAUAAAGACGAAGGAGAAGCGAAGAGAACAGCAGGACUAAAAAGAAGGUUAGGAUUUUAAGUCAUCUAGAAAGUAUGAUUAAUCCUUUAGCUACCAUGCAACUAUAUACAGUGAGUGUCAUUGGUGUAGAACAGUGCAUACGAGCCUGCUAAUCCAUCUCAUAUUUCUAUAAAACAUUUAUAACAGAUUUUGAUAAUAUUUAAUGUAUUACACAUACCCAUUUAUCUAU
Bombus huntii is the source of this 2731-nucleotide long non-coding RNA. RefSeq lists it as uncharacterized. The record is from RefSeq and is a predicted model, not a curated record. Lineage: Eukaryota; Metazoa; Arthropoda; Insecta; Hymenoptera; Apidae. The transcript is spliced from 3 exons.